UACGUAGGGUGCGAGCGUUAAUCGGAAUUACUGGGCGUAAAGCGUGCGCAGGCGGUUAUUUAAGUCAGGUGUGAAAGCCCUGGGCUUAACCUAGGAAUUGCGCUUGAGACUGGAUAGCUUGGAGUGCGGCAGAGGGAGGUGGAAUUCCACGUGUAGCAGUGAAAUGCGUAGAGAUGUGGAGGAACACCGAUGGCGAAGGCAGCCUCCUGGGCAAGCGCUGACGCUGAGGUGCGAGAGCGUGGGGAGCGAACCGG
RNAcentral lists this ribosomal RNA (254 nucleotides) under uncultured bacterium. RNAcentral's name for it is "partial 16S ribosomal RNA". It matches the Rfam family "Bacterial small subunit ribosomal RNA", at positions 524 to 776 of the family's 1533-position model. The record is from RNAcentral.